This is a small nuclear RNA of Pogona vitticeps (central bearded dragon), 156 nucleotides long. Its record names the gene U1. It matches the Rfam family "U1 spliceosomal RNA". From Rfam's summary of the family: U1 is a small nuclear RNA (snRNA) component of the spliceosome (involved in pre-mRNA splicing). Its 5' end forms complementary base pairs with the 5' splice junction, thus defining the 5' donor site of an intron. There are significant differences in sequence and secondary structure between metazoan and yeast U1 snRNAs, the latter being much longer (568 nucleotides as compared to 164 nucleotides in human). NCBI's taxonomy places the organism in Eukaryota, Metazoa, Chordata, Lepidosauria, Squamata, Agamidae. The record is from Ensembl.
ACUCAUACCUGUCAGGGGAAAUACCAUUAUUGUAAAAAUGGUUUUCCCAGGGUAAGGCUCAUCUAUUGCACUCUGGAUAUGUUGACCCCUGUGAUUUCCCCAAAUGUGGGAAAAUCAACUGCCUAGGUGAGGGAUUGUGGUUUCCCCUGGUCUUUC